GAUGAACGCUGACGGCGUGCCUAAUACAUGCAAGUCGAGCGAACGGACGAGAAGCUUGCUUCUCUGAUGUUAGCGGCGGACGGGUGAGUAACACGUGGAUAACCUACCUAUAAGACUGGGAUAACUUCGGGAAACCGGAGCUAAUACCGGAUAAUAUUUUGAACCGCAUGGUUCAAAAGUGAAAGACGGUCUUGCUGUCACUUAUAGAUGGAUCCGCGCUGCAUUAGCUAGUUGGUAAGGUAACGGCUUACCAAGGCAACGAUGCAUAGCCGACCUGAGAGGGUGAUCGGCCACACUGGAACUGAGACACGGUCCAGACUCCUACGGGAGGCAGCAGUAGGGAAUCUUCCGCAAUGGGCGAAAGCCUGACGUAGCAACGCCGCGUGAGUGAUGAAGGUCUUCGGAUCGUAAAACUCUGUUAUUAGGGAAGAACAUAUGUGUAAGUAACUGUGCACAUCUUGACGGUACCUAAUCAGAAAGCCACGGCUAACUACGUG
Molecule: ribosomal RNA, 497 nt
Filed under: uncultured bacterium
Lineage: Bacteria
Description: partial 16S ribosomal RNA
Rfam family: Bacterial small subunit ribosomal RNA
Source: RNAcentral